Molecule: ribosomal RNA, 627 nt
Filed under: uncultured fungus
Lineage: Eukaryota; Fungi
Description: eukaryotic LSU rRNA
Rfam family: 5.8S ribosomal RNA (bases 188-341)
Source: RNAcentral
UCCGUAGGUGAACCUGCGGAAGGAUCAUUAAUGAGUUUGCGCGGCCGUUGCUGGUUUUUACAAGUGCACGCCGCGUCUUUCUUAAUCCACCCCUUUGUGCAUCCGGGCGCGUCUUUUAGACGUGGUCCCAACCUUUAUACUAUAAAACCGUCUUGUACGAGUAGAACGUGCCGAAACAAACUAAUACAACUAUCAACAACGGAUCUCUUGGCAUCCCACUCGAUGAAGAACGCAGCGAAUUGCGAUAAGUAAUGUGAAUUGCAGAAUUCAGUGAAUCAUCGAAUCUUUGAACGCACCUUGCACCCUUUGGUAUUCCGAAGGGUAUGCCCGGUUGAGUAUUAUGAUCAACUCAAACCUCUGGUUUUCUGAUUGCAAAGGUGUAAUGACCGACGAAGCCAUCCACACGGGGUGGCGGUAGUUGGAGUUUCACUUGGAGCAUCGGAGGUGUUGGACUUGAGCGCACGUUGGUUUGACUUUCGAAUCAACCCGCUUGAAAUGAAUUAGCCGACAACCGCCUUUACACGGUUUUACUCGACGUAAUAAGUCUAUUCGUUGAGUGGCGUGGAAUGGGGGGCUCCAAGGUCGGCUCUAAUCGGUCUUAGGGACACUCUGGUUGGAACCUUUAAU